RNAcentral lists this transfer RNA (70 nucleotides) under Phyllodrepanium falcifolium. RNAcentral describes it as "partial tRNA-Leu". The record is from RNAcentral. Lineage: Eukaryota; Viridiplantae; Streptophyta; Bryopsida; Bryales; Phyllodrepaniaceae.
AANUCGUNGCGGUACGGAUUAAAAUCCGUUGACUUUAGUGAUCGUGAGGGUUCAAGUCCCUCUACCCCUA